GACAGAGGUGCCGAGCGUUAGGCGGAAUCACUGGGCUUAAAGCGUGUGUAGGCGGGCGGGCAAGUACCUUGUGAAAUCCCACGGCUCAACCGUGGAACGGCUGGGUAUACUGCCUGUCUUGAGCCAACUAGGGGCGAGCGGAACAGACGGUGGAGCGGUGAAAUGCGUAGAUAUCGUCAGGAACGCCAAUGGUGAAGACAGGUGACUGGGCUAGAUCUGACACUGAGGCACGAAAGCGUGGGGAUCAAACGGG
Molecule: ribosomal RNA, 253 nt
Filed under: uncultured bacterium
Lineage: Bacteria
Description: partial 16S ribosomal RNA
Rfam family: Bacterial small subunit ribosomal RNA
Source: RNAcentral